UUCGUGGACUUUUAUUUUUUUUCUUAGGGGGAAUGGGGAGUGCAUGAGAAUGACAUGAGCAUAAAUACAACCUGCGCACUCUUAUCAGCGGGACCGAGAAGCUCGCUGGUGUGUUUGGUAAUUUUUCUCUCCUCUCCUGAUGGGUGACAUCCGCUGUUGUUUUGAUUUCUUCACUGGUUGGUGGUGUAGAAGCACGCUGCACGUCUUCCUGUUCGCCGAUUUAACGCUGCUGGAAGAACAAAUGCUUAAGGGGCAACUUGUGCCCUCUUUGGAAAGUUCCAGGUAGUCUUGCAUCUUACAGGUGCAGCUCAAACCUGCAGUUUUUCCCUCCACCUUCUAGACGUGUGCUCUCAGGGGAAUGCUUAUAUGUGUAGCAUAUUCAAGAUCUGCCCUGACACUGCGAUUCAACAAUCAACACAGUAAAUUAAAUCCUAUAAGCUCCAGGCUUCAGCAGUUGGUCACUGACAAUGCGGCAUCAAUGGCUCUGCAAUAGCCUCCAUUGCCUAAGUACAUGGGGAGAAUGGGACUAUAAUGGACAUGAGGAUGAGGAGUCAUCUGAAUCGCCUGCUGAUCACACCGCCUGCCCAUUGAAGAUGGGGGGGAGGGUUUUAAUGGGUGUUGUUUUAUCAGGUGCAAAUAAAGCAUCAGCUUUAUAAUUACAGGCCUACAAUCUUCAUCUGCAUUAAAAUA
Long non-coding RNA from Sander lucioperca (pikeperch), 690 nucleotides. RefSeq lists it as uncharacterized. The record is from RefSeq and is a predicted model, not a curated record. The transcript is spliced from 2 exons. Lineage: Eukaryota; Metazoa; Chordata; Actinopteri; Perciformes; Percidae.